ACCCACCUGGCUGAACUGCAUCAGAUUCCCGGACUGCGGGGAAUAAUAUUAAAUAGUUAGUAAGCUAUAGCUUUGCACAUUAAAAGCACAACUCACGUUUAAUCCCUGCAAGAAGGCCAUGGGUUCCGUGGUCCUGGAAUAAUAAAAACAAUAAUAGUUAGCAACCAGGCAAACCACAUGUGACCACGUGACCAGGUACUCACAAUUCCGAUCCCGAUACCUCCACCGUUUUCGGAAUAUCCUCCUUGAUAUCGACCUCCGUGGAGUCAUCCUCGGAAUCAGUGCUAAAGUGUAAAAGGGAAAUAAAAACUUAGUGGCAAACUGCGCCUUGGCUGGAUAAACAAACACAAACAAGUUGGCCGCGCGAAUGAUGCAAGUACAAGCGUGUUGCUACAUGCAAGGUUUCUACUGUUCGAUCAUCAAUUUGUUGCCGCACUGUACCUUUCUUUGUGCCACGACAUUGGCUGUGAUAUAUACAUCUUAGUCGGCUAUAUCUGAUCAAGCGAUCUUGUUGGGGAAGGAGGCUAAAUAUUAAAAAUUCGCUAACAAAAAACUACAGAAUCGUAGUGGCCACCGACUAUUUGGAUUUUGCCAUUCGCCACGCAGCGCGAACAAUCGCCGUAGCCAAUGUUUAUCGAUUGGAGCGCGUGUUUUGAAUUUGCUCACCCCUUGUGGCAGACGAAUUUGUUGCAUGCAUUAAUUUUGUUAUUGCCAUCGGAAUUAUUGUUGGCCAAAAUUUCCAGAUUGUUCGUGAACUGCAUCAUGUUGUUCGUGUUGUUGCCUCCGUAGGCUGGAUCCACAGGCGUAGCCAGGUGGGCAUAUUCGUUGGAUUCGUUGCCAAAACUCUGCGGCAAGUUGAAAGCUCCGUUGCUGGAGACCCGAACUGCUGACUCUGCAGAAACUUCGUUGCCGAUAUCCCAAAAAUCCAGGAACUCCUUGAAAGCUUCAAAAAUUGUGCGACUAUUGCUACGCGAAACAAUCGAAGUGUUUCUGCAAAAAGGCGCAACAUUAUUUUGUUGGGUAAGACCGAAUAAAAUAUCUCCGCUCACUGGUUAAAAGUCAAGCUAAACGACGCGGACUUGUGAAGACUCAUGGCUGUGCACUCAAAUAAAUAAAUUUUAUUUAGCAGUUGCGAUUUGUGUCCGCAAGAAUCUUCCGUGCUCCAGGGAUGUCAACUAACCGGAAAUUGGCUAACUUAAUGUCAUAUAUCCAUGGCUAUCGAUAAGCUAUCGAUAAGGAUUUGGCCGAGUGCGAACAGUGCUGCCCAUUGUGCGGCAAGUUAGAAUUUCUGUUUUGAAAUUUUUUCAAUACUUCAAUCUAUUUAUUAGUUUGCAAAUAACGCGCCGUAUGCAGCAAAUUGGUUUCACUGCACAGCCCUUUGAAUGGUCGAGCAAUGUACCGUAUGAUUUCUGGCUCCUACAAAAAAUUAAGUUUUAUUUAAUGGUGAAAUUCCAAAUUUUAGUCAAACUAAAUUUCAAUUAAAACGCACGAAUUAUACAAAGCUUAGGCAGCUACGGCAUACGGAUAUAUUUACAAUUCUAAAAAUGUACAUAAAGCGCUACUGGCACAAAAGUCUUUCUCUACAGCAGACAUAUGAUAAUGCAGCUCUAAUAUUUCUCAGUCGUCACUUCGCUCGGCGGCGGCGACUCAUUUGUUCGAUUUUGAACAUCGGUCACGGUGGUGAGGUCAGAGCUCGAGGAUUCCCUCGAAUGCCUGGGGAGAAAUGGAAAACAGCACAGCAAUAAUGAUAAGUGUACAGUGGAGAUGACAUAAUCGUAGAUUAAGUAUCAUAUUCACACAAUGUUUCAAUCACCUGUAAAACACAUAGUGCUGCAGCAUGAAGAACACAUCGAAGAGCACGGAAAACAGACCCAGUCCGAAUUUGGUGGGAUCACCGAAAAUCGACACCCAAUCAUCUGGAAACCAGACACGAUUUCAUUCGAAAAUCACAAAUUGAUAGACUAUAUCCUACCGUAAUUAUGAGCAUUCAGAAUCAUUUGCAGCAUGCUCAGCGUUCCUCCCGUGAAAUCCAGCAGAAUGUUGCCGAUGCUCCAGCCGGAGGUGCUCUUCCGGCGAUAGUUCAUCAGAGCUUGCGGCACGUACUUGAUGAUGGUAAUGGUUAGCUUGACGUAACUGCAGUAGUACAGAAAGUCCAGCCAAUGGAUGACGGAUCCUCCGGCCAAACCGGCAGACACGACGACCACCACGGCGAAGAUGGCCAAUAUUCCGUAGGCAAUGAACGACACCCUUUGCUGUGCUCUCUGGACAAAUUUAACAAAGUAUGGAUGUUUUACAAGUCAAAACCUUAUCUACUCUUCAUAUCGUAACUAUCCGCUGUGAUUCAAAUGAUUUGGCAUUUUGAUUGAUGGCAAUUAGUGUUCAAUGCGACAACUGUUGCCACUUCGGCGAUAAGGCUAUUGAAUGGUAUUUGCUAUAUAUAUUAUUACCUGAUAGAAAAAGCACUGAAGGAUCGUAAUGCAGGUGGCGAACAUGGCAUGCAGUGAGAAGACCACGUCGUUGAGCAUCACAGGAUUCACUCCCAGCGGAUAUCGCACCUCGUACUCGUUCUGCAGAUCCUCGAUGAAAUAGAGGCCGCAGUUGAACAUGCUGUACAGGGUGAAGCCCACGAUAUUGAGGGCCAGGAAAUCAAAGUUCAGUCCCUCGACGGACUUGCGGCGAUAGUUGCUCCAGAUCUGCGGAUAGAAGGACACCGACCAGGCCACAAAGUAAACCCAGCCAAAGAUGAUGGAGGUGUAGAUCAAAGCUCUCGAUUUGGCCACAGUCACGCGUACGAACACAUCCUUCACACUGGAAAAUAAGUGAAUUUUCCAAUUAGGUACGGGAACAGUUGGGAUUCCCGUGAAGUUACUCACAUCUCUUUGUUCGCAUCAUCGCUAUCUGCGACCACUUUGACGUUGCCGGCUUUGAGGCCAGUUAUCACCACCGACUGAUUUCGAGUACUGCCCGCUGGAUACACAAACGUUGCGGGAUCGAGGAGCAAAUGAUCCUCCGAAUCUGUUCCCAGCGCAACUUCCACGUCGCUGUCUAGCAAUCCGCUGUAAUGGGCACAAUAGAUUUACGAUGCCAUAUGUUUUGGAUUUGGAUUUCCCGGCAAUGGCAACUCACUUGGCGAACACCAGAAAAGUCUCGUUGCUGUUCAGCAGAACGGUGAUGUCAUGGGAAUCGACGGUGAGCUGACUGCUUUGGGCAUUUCCCAGGGCAACUGUGGGCAGGAGAAAUUCCCUCAUUAUUAGAUCGCAAUAUCUGGAUUGCGAUAUCUCACCUGUGGCCAGGAGGAGGAGCAGCAAAGUGGUCAGGCGGUGUGUGCUGAAAUCCAUUCUGCUUGCGUUCAACGUUCAACUUAUUCAUGCAUGAGCAUCCAGUCCUGCUGGCAUCUUCUUCAAUGAAGCCCUAUAUGGUAUUGUAUUGAUUCAAUUGUGAAUUACUUCAAUUGACCAAUUGACCACGAUCGGGUGAAAUUGAUAUCUACUCGUAGGAGUAUGGAAUGCAAUUCCUGACACCUUUUUUUUUUUUGCUUCUUAAUUUAAUGACCCGUGCAGACACUCAAUCAAUAAGGAAUAUAAUAUGAUAUAAAAUGAUAUAAACAUAAAACUAUUUGUUCCAAAAAAAAAACUUGCAGUGCAAACUACGCACGCUCGCUUCAUCUGGAAUUCGUGUGUGUUUUUGUCGAGAUAAAAGUCGGUAACCUUCAUCAAAUGUCGCUCAAUGUUACAACUUUGCAAUUGGAGCACACUUUCCCACGGCAAGCGUUGGAGCACCCAUUUUAUGUGCCUAUAUGGCCCAAAUGGACGUAACAGGAAAUACAUGGGCUUUGUCGGUCGAUCGUAAAACCAAAAGAUUCCCGAUUGUUCAUACUAUAUUUUUUAUAUGGCGAGGGCCGUGACUUGGCGAUUGCCAAGAAGUGUAAAACACCGCGUGAGAACGGGCUUAUCUCAAUCAAUGGAGCUAGCUGAUAGUGUCCGUCGAAUUAUUGCGGCAGUCUGCCACAAGUUGCAGAUAAUCAAUAGAUUGGGCAAUGCACUGCGAUUGCAAUACUAAUCGCAAGUCACGAUCCAAAUUUUGGUUCUACAUAAAUCAAAACUAAUGAGAGUGGUAAACUACAAGGGUAAUUUAAAGUUCGAACACCAUAUCUUUCACGAUCGUUCACACGAAUCUUCAUGUUUCAACUGAUAUGCACCAUAAGUUAUUCACUAAUUCUGUUUCAAUUCUGGUGAUAGAUAAGACGAUUGAUUGGUAAAAAGGUCCAUUGUUAGUUAACAGUAACACCCAUUUAUUCAUUCAUGAUUCCACGCACGAGAUACGCUUGUUGUGCGUCUGUUUGAGCCGGAUUAGAACUUUCACUGGCAUGUGGGCAAGCAGAGGCUUUUAGCCGCCAACUGCUAACGCAAAACAUCUGUAUAAGCCGCCGGAUUAUUGUGAUUAAGAUAAUGCGGAUUAGAACAGUUGUUUGCCUAUGCUAUAUGCAUGAUCGCCACCCAACACAUCAAUUCACUCACGUUAAGAAUGAAGUUAAAUAAUGUGUCCCAACUGACGAUUGAGCGACUGCCGAUGGCUACAAGUGGAAUGGAAUGCUAUGAUGAUGGCUGCGAUGGCGACUCUCCAGUGCGACUGAGUGCGCGAUCCAAUGGAUCCGUUUAAAUAUUGGAGCGAUGGAGUCGACGUCGACUGCGGCAGCGGCAGCGACGCACCAGCGGCAGCAGCAACAACAAGUGGGGCGAGAGCGGACCGCCGACGUAUCUUGGCUUUUUAUUAUACAUUAUUUUUGCACUUGAGAACCCGGCGGCCGAAAAGGUGGGCACUUCAGUCGGGAACAGUUAAAUAUUUUGACAAGACGAGUAGUUCUCAAAACAAAAAAAAAAAAAACACUUUUUUUUCAAAUUCAAAUUUCAAAAAAAAUAUGCUAAAAUGUAUCUGUGGGAUAAGCAAUGAAUGGAAAUGUAUCUACGGGAUAAGCUAUGAAUUGAAAUGUAUCUGUAGGAUAAGCUAUGAAUUGAAAAGUAUCUGUGGGACAAACGAACUUGUAUCUCACAGUACAAAGUAAUCAUACC
This is a non-coding RNA of Drosophila melanogaster (fruit fly), 5069 nucleotides long. Lineage: Eukaryota; Metazoa; Arthropoda; Insecta; Diptera; Drosophilidae. The record is from Ensembl.